RNAcentral lists this ribosomal RNA (460 nucleotides) under uncultured bacterium. RNAcentral's name for it is "partial 16S ribosomal RNA". It matches the Rfam family "Bacterial small subunit ribosomal RNA", at positions 338 to 795 of the family's 1533-position model. The record is from RNAcentral.
CCUACGGGAGGCAGCAGUGAGGAAUAUUGGUCAAUGGACGAGAGUCUGAACCAGCCAAGUAGCGUGAAGGAUGACUGCCCUAUGGGUUGUAAACUUCUUUUAUAUGGGAAUAAAAUGUUCCACGUGUGGGAUUUUGUAUGUACCAUAUGAAUAAGGAUCGGCUAACUCCGUGCCAGCAGCCGCGGUAAUACGGAGGAUCCGAGCGUUAUCCGGAUUUAUUGGGUUUAAAGGGAGCGUAGGUGGAUUGUUAAGUCAGUUGUGAAAGUUUGCGGCUCAACCGUAAAAUUGCAGUUGAAACUGGCAGUCUUGAGUACAGUAGAGGUGGGCGGAAUUCGUGGUGUAGCGGUGAAAUGCUUAGAUAUCACGAAGAACUCCGAUUGCGAAGGCAGUUCACUGGACUGCAACUGAUACUGAGGCUCGAAAGUGUGGGUAUCAAACAGGAUUAGAUACCCGUGUAGUC